CCUACGGGAGGCAGCAGUGGGGAAUAUUGGACAAUGGGCGAAAGCCUGAUCCAGCAAUGCCGCGUGAGUGAUGAAGGCCUUAGGGUUGUAAAGCUCUUUUACCAGGGAUGAUAAUGACAGUACCUGGAGAAUAAGCUCCGGCUAACUCCGUGCCAGCAGCCGCGGUAAUACGGAGGGAGCUAGCGUUGUUCGGAAUUACUGGGCGUAAAGCGUGCGUAGGCGGUGAUUCAAGUCAGAGGUGAAAGCCUGGAGCUCAACUCCAGAACGGCCUUUGAAACUAGAUCGCUAGAAUUAUGGAGAGGUAAGUGGAAUUCCGAGUGUAGAGGUGAAAUUCGUAGAUAUUCGGAAGAACACCAGUGGCGAAGGCGACUUACUGGACAUAUAUUGACGCUGAGGUACGAAAGCGUGGGGAGCAAACAGGAUUAGAUACCCUGGUAGUCCACGCCGUAAACGAUGAUAACUAGCUGUUCGGGCUCUCAGAGCUUGAGUGGCGCAGCUAACGCAUUAAGUUAUCCGCCUGGGGAGUACGGUCGCAAGNUUAAAACCUUAAAUGAAUUGACGG
RNAcentral lists this ribosomal RNA (562 nucleotides) under uncultured bacterium. RNAcentral's name for it is "bacterial SSU rRNA". It matches the Rfam family "Bacterial small subunit ribosomal RNA", at positions 338 to 916 of the family's 1533-position model. The record is from RNAcentral.